Molecule: ribosomal RNA, 497 nt
Filed under: uncultured bacterium
Lineage: Bacteria
Description: partial 16S ribosomal RNA
Rfam family: Bacterial small subunit ribosomal RNA
Source: RNAcentral
GACGAACGCUGGCGGCGUGCCUAAUACAUGCAAGUAGAACGCUGAAGAGAGGAGCUUGCUCUUCUUGGAUGAGUUGCGCACGGGUGAGUAACGCGUAGGUAACCUGCCUUGUAGCGGGGGAUAACUAUUGGAAACGAUAGCUAAUACCGCAUAACAAUGGAUGACACAUGUCAUUUAUUUGAAAGGGGCAAUUGCUCCACUACAAGAUGGACCUGCGUUGUAUUAGCUAGUAGGUGAGGUAAUGGCUCACCUAGGCGACGAUACAUAGCCGACCUGAGAGGGUGGGCGGCCACACUGGGACGGGGACACGGCCCAGACUCCAACGGGAGGCGGCAGUAGGGAAUCUUCGGCAAUGGGGGCAAGCCUGACCGAGCAACGCCGCAUGAGUGAAGAAGGUUUUCGGAUCGUAAAGCGCUGUUGUAAGUCAAGAACGGGUGUGACAGUGGAAAGUUCACACUGUGACGGUAGCUUACCAAAAAGGGACGGCUAACUACGUG